UCUGGCUGCAGUAUAGGUCAUAAACCCCGCCUCCUCCAUGUUAGCAGAUGGGACUGGGGUCAGACUAAAAUAAAUAAAUUCUUCCCAGAUAAUUUUUUUCCAAAGAUGCUUUCUUUCAUUAUCAGUAGUUCUCAUCACGCUGAUUUAUGUUCAAAGGGUCUCCUUUCUCAUACGUUUGAUUCUAAUUACUACCACAAUGCUGUUAAAUUGGAGUGCAACGUCAUCAUAACAGCUUUGACUGGCAGCUGCAGUCACGGAGAAACUUAGGCAUCUCUGUUCGCAGACUCUGGCUCCAAAAGCGCAACAAGUCAGCUCCCACAAGCAGGAUAUUUGGGCUUCAUUUCUGUACAAUGGGAGGAAGUGCUGUGGCGUCAUCCAUGUUUGGAGUCUAAAGUUAGUGUGUUUUGUAGUCAAAAGUUUUGUUGUGUGUCGGAACCAAUGACAUUGGUCAGAACAAUGAGGCAAUUACUGAAUGUCACGGUAGCUGUCAAAAACACUCUUGUGUUGCAGUGUGCCCUGAAGUCACCAUCAGAAACAGCAUUGUUAAAGAGCACACCAUCAGCAUUGCCUUCCGAAUGCUGCAGGAUACACCCAGGGAGCCUUUUGCUCUCUGGCAGCUCACGGAGAAUGACCUCCAGCCAAAGAUGGGAGUGGUGAUUGACCCCACCACCAAGCACCUGUUACUACAUAGGUGAAGUGCAGGAGCUGACCUUUGACCAGCCGCAGGUCCACACGCUGUUCUAUGGCAGUUUUCACAAGAGCACAUGGACAGCAUACUCACCUGGUUCUGUGGGCCCGCAGCGCAUGUCACACCAUCCAUCACCCUUGUCAUCACAUUCAAUCUUGGUCUGAGAGAAACCUGAAGAGAAA
Molecule: long non-coding RNA, 870 nt
Organism: Oreochromis aureus
Lineage: Eukaryota; Metazoa; Chordata; Actinopteri; Cichliformes; Cichlidae
Exons: 4
Source: RefSeq, a predicted model, not a curated record